Molecule: unclassified non-coding RNA, 293 nt
Filed under: Roussoella sp.
Lineage: Eukaryota; Fungi; Ascomycota; Dothideomycetes; Pleosporales; Thyridariaceae
Description: partial contains 5.8S ribosomal RNA, internal transcribed spacer 2, and large subunit ribosomal RNA
Rfam family: 5.8S ribosomal RNA (bases 1-71)
Source: RNAcentral
GUGAGUCAUCGAAUCUUUGAACGCACAUUGCGCCCUAUAGUAUUCUGUAGGGCAUGCCUGUUCGAGCGUCAUUUAACCCCUCAAGCCCAGCUUGGUAUUGGGUGCUUGUCCCGCCUCCUGCGCGGCGACUCACCUCAAAGUCAUUGGCAGCCCGCAAUCGCCGGCCGUGAGCGCAGCACAGACGCGCUUGUGGAAUCCGGCGGCUCGGCUCUCCAAAAGCUUAUUUCAACCACAAUUGACCUCGGAUCAGGUAGGGAUACCCGCUGAACUUAAGCAUAUCAAUAAGCGGAGGA